UACAGAGGAGCCAAGCGUUGUCCGGAUUGACUGGGCGUAAAGCGCACGCAGGCGGAUGCGCGCGUGGGGUGUGAAAUCUGGCCGCUUAACGGCCAGGCGCCAUCCCAUACGGCGCGUCUGGAGUGAUGCAGAGGUCGAUGGAAUUGCCGGUGUAGUGGUGAAAUGCGUAGAGAUCGGCAGGAACACCCAGGGGGAAACCAGUCGACUGGGCAUCUACUGACGCUGAGGUGCGAG
Molecule: ribosomal RNA, 234 nt
Filed under: uncultured bacterium
Lineage: Bacteria
Description: partial 16S ribosomal RNA
Rfam family: Bacterial small subunit ribosomal RNA
Source: RNAcentral